RNAcentral lists this unclassified non-coding RNA (425 nucleotides) under soil metagenome. RNAcentral describes it as "partial contains 5.8S ribosomal RNA, internal transcribed spacer 2, and large subunit ribosomal RNA". The stretch from base 1 to 120 matches the Rfam family "5.8S ribosomal RNA", at positions 35 to 154 of the family's 154-position model. The record is from RNAcentral.
GAUGAAGAACGUAGCGAAAUGCGAUAAGUAAUGUGAAUUGCAGAAUUCAGUGAAUCAUCGAAUCUUUGAACGCACCUUGCGCUCCUUGGUAUUCCAAGGAGCAUGCCUGUUUGAGUAUCAUUAAAAUAUCAACUGUGCCAAUUUGGUUACAGAUUGGAUGUGGGAGAUUCUUUUUGCAGGCCUUUGACUUCUCUUUGAGAAAAAAAAUAAAAGGUCGGCUCUCCUGAAAUGUAUUAGCAGUGCCUUUGUUGGUUCAUUAGGUGUGAUAAAUUGUCUACAUCUUCGCAUGAUACCUUCAUUUGUAAUGGUCAUAUUGCUUCUAAAUUGUCUUUGAUUGGACGCAAAACAUAUAUAAUGUUUGACAAACUUGAUCUCAAAUCAGGCAGGACUACCCGCUGAACUUAAGCAUAUCAAUAAGCGGAGGA